This 279-nucleotide ribosomal RNA is filed under the name uncultured bacterium. RNAcentral describes it as "partial 16S ribosomal RNA". It matches the Rfam family "Bacterial small subunit ribosomal RNA", at positions 506 to 784 of the family's 1533-position model. The record is from RNAcentral.
UGCCAGCAGCCGCGGUAAUACGGAGGGUCCGAGCGUUAAUCGGAAUGACUGGGCGUAAAGCGCGCGUAGGUGGUUUUUUAAGUUGGAUGUGAAAGCCCAGGGCUUAACCUUGGAAUUGCAUCCAAAACUGGGAGACUUGAGUACAGUAGAGGGAGGUAGAAUUUCAGGUGUAGCGGUGAAAUGCGUAGAGAUCUGAAGGAAUACCAGUGGCGAAGGCGGCCUCCUGGACUGAUACUGACACUGAGGUGCGAAAGCGUGGGUAGCGAACAGGAUUAGAUA